Molecule: ribosomal RNA, 500 nt
Filed under: uncultured bacterium
Lineage: Bacteria
Description: partial 16S ribosomal RNA
Rfam family: Bacterial small subunit ribosomal RNA
Source: RNAcentral
AUUGAACGCUGGCGGCAUGCCUUACACAUGCAAGCCGAACGGCAGCACGGGAGCAAUCCUGGUGGCGAGUGGCGAACGGGUGAGUAAAGUAUCGGAACGUGCCCAGUCGUGGGGGAUAACGUAGCGAAAGUUACGCUAAUACCGCAUACGAUCUAUGGAUGAAAGCGGGGGAUCGCAAGACCUCGCGCGAUUGGAGCGGCCGAUAUCGGAUUAGGUAGUUGGUGGGGUAAAGGCUCACCAAGCCGACGAUCUGUAGCUGGUCUGAGAGGACGACCAGCCACACUGGGACGGAGACACGGCCCAGACUCCUACGGGAGGCAGCAGUGGGGAAUUUUGGACAAUGGGCGAAAGCCUGAUCCAGCCAUGCCGCGUGCAGGAUGAAGGCCUUCGGGUUGUAAACUGCUUUUGUACGGAACGAAAAGGUUUGGCCUAAUAAGCUGAGCUCAUGACGGUACCGUAAGAAUAAGCACCGGCUAACUACGUGCCAGCCGCCGCCGUAA